Molecule: ribosomal RNA, 554 nt
Filed under: uncultured bacterium
Lineage: Bacteria
Description: partial 16S ribosomal RNA
Rfam family: Bacterial small subunit ribosomal RNA
Source: RNAcentral
UGGGGAAUUUUGGACAAUGGGCGAAAGCCUGAUCCAGCAAUGCCGCGUGUGUGAAGAAGGCCUUCGGGUUGUAAAGCACUUUUGUCCGGAAAGAAAUCCUUGGCUCUAAUACAGUCGGGGGAUGACGGUACCGGAAGAAUAAGCACCGGCUAACUACGUGCCAGCAGCCGCGGUAAUACGUAGGGUGCAAGCGUUAAUCGGAAUUACUGGGCGUAAAGCGUGCGCAGGCGGUUUGCUAAGACCGAUGUGAAAUCCCCGGGCUCAACCUGGGAACUGCAUUGGUGACUGGCGGGCUAGAGUAUGGCAGAGGGGGGUAGAAUUCCACGUGUAGCAGUGAAAUGCGUAGAGAUGUGGAGGAAUACCGAUGGCGAAGGCAGCCCCCUGGGCCAAUACUGACGCUCAUGCACGAAAGCGUGGGGAGCAAACAGGAUUAGAUACCCUGGUAGUCCACGCCCUAAACGAUGUCAACUAGUUGUUGGGGAUUCAUUUCCUUAGUAACGUAGCUAACGCGUGAAGUUGACCGCCUGGGGAGUACGGUCGCAAGAUUAAAACUC